GUGAACUCAAGACCAACGAAUCAAAGUGCUAAAAUAUCAAUUAAGUUACGAAUUCUUAAGUGGUAAGAAUAUUCUUUUAAUUUCUUUAUUUUAAUUUUGAUCACUUAAAAGUUACAAAUUCUAAUUUUAGGUAUUUAAGAUUGAAAAAAUUUAUUUAAGUUUUUUAAGAGUAACUAACAAUAUCGUAUAAGUAUAUUCUUAAUUUCUUUUUGUAGGAAUGAAAUUAAAAAGAAAGAUGAACAAGAUAAAAUAGUUGAGAAAAUUGAGAAGUCAAUGAAAUUAAUGGUGGUUAUAGAGACAAAAUAAUGCAAUCCUAUUAUCAUCUUCGAGAAAAAUGCAAUAGUGCCACCAACAAAAAAAGAGUGUUCCUUAAAAUUUUC
RNAcentral lists this long non-coding RNA (380 nucleotides) under Capsicum annuum. RNAcentral describes it as "long non-coding RNA (CANN_LNC021361)". Lineage: Eukaryota; Viridiplantae; Streptophyta; Magnoliopsida; Solanales; Solanaceae. The record is from RNAcentral.